RNAcentral lists this ribosomal RNA (587 nucleotides) under Saccharomyces cerevisiae (brewer's yeast). RNAcentral's name for it is "eukaryotic LSU rRNA". It matches the Rfam family "Eukaryotic large subunit ribosomal RNA", at positions 54 to 655 of the family's 3401-position model. The record is from RNAcentral. Lineage: Eukaryota; Fungi; Ascomycota; Saccharomycetes; Saccharomycetales; Saccharomycetaceae.
AGGAAAAGAAACCAACCGGGAUUGCCUUAGUAACGGCGAGUGAAGCGGCAAAAGCUCAAAUUUGAAAUCUGGUACCUUCGGUGCCCGAGUUGUAAUUUGGAGAGGGCAACUUUGGGGCCGUUCCUUGUCUAUGUUCCUUGGAACAGGACGUCAUAGAGGGUGAGAAUCCCGUGUGGCGAGGAGUGCGGUUCUUUGUAAAGUGCCUUCGAAGAGUCGAGUUGUUUGGGAAUGCAGCUCUAAGUGGGUGGUAAAUUCCAUCUAAAGCUAAAUAUUGGCGAGAGACCGAUAGCGAACAAGUACAGUGAUGGAAAGAUGAAAAGAACUUUGAAAAGAGAGUGAAAAAGUACGUGAAAUUGUUGAAAGGGAAGGGCAUUUGAUCAGACAUGGUGUUUUGUGCCCUCUGCUCCUUGUGGGUAGGGGAAUCUCGCAUUUCACUGGGCCAGCAUCAGUUUUGGUGGCAGGAUAAAUCCAUAGGAAUGUAGCUUGCCUCGGUAAGUAUUAUAGCCUGUGGGAAUACUGCCAGCUGGGACUGAGGACUGCGACGUAAGUCAAGGAUGCUGGCAUAAUGGUUAUAUGCCGCCCGUCUU